Phyllopteryx taeniolatus (common seadragon) is the source of this 931-nucleotide long non-coding RNA. RefSeq lists it as uncharacterized. NCBI's taxonomy places the organism in Eukaryota, Metazoa, Chordata, Actinopteri, Syngnathiformes, Syngnathidae. The record is from RefSeq and is a predicted model, not a curated record. The transcript is spliced from 3 exons.
UGUUUGUGGCCUAAAACGCCUAGUGCAGUACAAAGUUAUUGUAAAUAAAUAUAAGAAAACGCUUGAAAAUGUUUGAAAGUUUCAUAUUUUAUUCAAACUUACCAUGCCAAUGUGCUUGGCCAUGGUGGCAUUGUUGACGUACAGUACUCAUCAUUGAAAUUUAAUUGUGAUUUCAAUUUUGGCUUCUAACAAUAAAAACAAAAAACAAAAAACGUUAUAAUCGAAGAAAAACAAUUAAUGUGCAGCGGCACGGGUUGUGUAUUUAGUAUGUUACUGCGUUGUUAAUUGCACCCUGAAUGCACCCUGUGUUGCUUGCAGCAAGCGUGUGACGCAUGUUCUUCUGCCUACCCUGAGCUGGCUUUAAGUGGUUUAUUGACACCCCAUUGGGAGUUUACAGUAAAAAUAAACGCACAACAAAAAGAGUUACACACAUCGGAUAUUUAAAUACAAGACACAUCGCUUUAGAAAUCGCCAUCUUACGCUAUUAGUCAAUGGAAAACCCUAUUGAAGGUGUACAUAUUUGUAUGUUUCAGACAGGCGAUGUUCAGCCAGCUAGGUUUGGGUCCUUCGUGGCUCGCGUGUGCAAGCGGGUGAGCGAGGAAGAAAAGAGAGCUAGCGGCACUGCGAGCGGUCGUGUUGCUAAUUAGUGUGACGCAGUAUAUUUACCACCUGUCAGUUAGGAGCGAGAGGUGUCUGUGUUCCUUUACCGAGUGUGCUUCCAUGAGAGGUGUGUGGGAGCGCCACUUCUUUGUUCAUUGUUACUCUAAUAUGCAGCUCCAUGCAUGCAACGCACCACACUGCCCCCAAGAUGCCAAGAAGCAUACAGCAGGAACAACAGAUCAUGGGACGCAAAAAGGCAACAGUCUUCUUCAUCAGCACACAACACUCCAGAACGACAACCCCAGUCCCAGAAUGACAACGGAUAUUCCUG